CGGGGCGUGGCGCAGUCCGGUAGCGCGUCCGCUUUGGGAGCGGAAGGCCCCCGGUUCGAAUCCGGGCGCCCCGA
Molecule: transfer RNA, 74 nt
Filed under: Gemmatimonadota bacterium
Lineage: Bacteria; Pseudomonadati; Gemmatimonadota
Also listed under: 2 other names
Description: Gemmatimonadetes bacterium (activated sludge metagenome) tRNA-Pro
Rfam family: tRNA
About the family: Transfer RNA (tRNA) molecules are approximately 80 nucleotides in length. Their secondary structure includes four short double-helical elements and three loops (D, anti-codon, and T loops).
Source: RNAcentral